CCUUUAGCUGGUUAAAUAUUCCAGCACCGGUGUGGGUUAAGUGUUAGAGCGACCUGGUCUAGGAGGGAGGCAGCCCGUUGAUUGUGGCUGUCGCGCAAGCGGAUGCUGAGGCUUCGGCCAAAGUGAAUCUUCUAAAUGGGCCAGCAAGAAAAACUCUAACAUGUUUACCAUACCGCCCGUACCGCAAACCGACACAGGUGGGUGAGUAGAAUAUACUAAGGCGCGUGAGUGAAACCUGGUUAAGGAACUCGGCAAAAUAGCCCCGUAACUUCGGAAGAAGGGGUGCCCCGCAAGGGGCCGCAGUGAAAGGGGUCAACCGACUGUUUAGCAAAAACACAGCACUCUGCUAACCUGAAAGGGGAUGUAUAGGGUGUGACACGUGACCAAUGCCGAAAGAUUAUGGUAAGGGGUUAGCCGCAAGGCGAAGCUUUGAGCCGAAGUCCCGGUGAAUGUCGGCCGUAACUAUAACGGUCCUAAGGUAGCGAAAUUCCUUGUCGGGUAAGUUCCGACCUGCACGAAUCGUGUAACGAGUUGACCGCUGUCUCAACCAGGUGCUCAGCGAAGUUGUAGUGGCGGUGAAGAUGCCGCCUACCCGCAGAAGGACGGAAAGACCCUAUGCACCUUAACUGUACGCUGUUAUUGAUUUUCUGAUUUCAUUGCUUAGCGUAAGUGGGAGACUGUGAAGCUGACCUUUCGGGGUCGGCAGAGUCGCCAAUGAAACACCACCCUGUGGUAUUGGGAAAUCUAACUUGCCUUUAGGCGAGGACCAUGGCAGCCGGUCAGUUUUACUGGGGCGGUAUCCUCCUAAAAAGUAACGGAGGAGUGCGAAGUUUGGCUCAGCCCGGUUAGCAAUCGGGUGACGAGUACAUGGACAUAAGCCAGACUUACUGCGAGACCUACAAGUCAAGCAGUCACGAAAGUGGGCCCAAGUGAUCCGGCGGUUCCGAGUGGAAGGGCCGUCGCUUAACGGAUAAAAGGUACGCUAGGGAUAACAGGCUGAUUGCGCCCAAGAGUUCAUAUCGACGGCGCGGUUUGGCACCUCGAUGUCGGCUCAUCGCAUCCUGGGGCUGGAGAAGGUCCCAAGGGUCCGGCUGUUCGCCGGUUAAAGCGGUACGCGAGCUGGGUUCAGAACGUCGCGAGACAGUUCGGUCCUCUAUCCUCUGUGGGCGUUAGGAGAAUUGCGGGGUUCGGUUCCUAGUACGAGAGGACCGGAAUCGACGCACCUCUGGUGCACCGGUUGUCGUGUCAACGGCAUGGCCGGGUAGCUAUGUGCGGAAAGGAUAAGCGCUGAAAGCAUCUAAGCGCCAAGCCUCUCCCAAGAUGAAUUCUCCCUGAAGGGGUGUGGUAGACCACCACGUUGAUAGGUCGCUAGUGCAAGUUGGGGUAACCCUCUUAGCUAAACGAUACUAAUUCCCCGCAAA
RNAcentral lists this ribosomal RNA (1421 nucleotides) under metagenome. Its description in RNAcentral is "bacterial LSU rRNA". It matches the Rfam family "Bacterial large subunit ribosomal RNA", at positions 1419 to 2915 of the family's 2925-position model. The record is from RNAcentral.